AGAGUUUGAUCCUGGCUCAGGAUGAACGCUGGCGGUAUGCUUUACACAUGCAAGUCAUACGGAAGUUAGUUUCGACUAGCUUCAGUGGCGGACGGGUGAGUAACACGUGAGAAUUCGCCUUUAGGAGGGGGAUAACAGGGGGAAACACCUGCUAAAACCCCAUAUGCCUUCGGGUCAAAAGAGCAAUCUGCCUAAAGAGAAGCUCGCGGCUGAUUGCUAGUUGGUGGGGUAAAGGCCUACCAAGGCGACGAUCAGUAGCUGGUCUGAGAGGACGAUCAGCCACACUGGAACUGAGACACGGUCCAGACUCCUACGGGAGGCAGCAGUGAGGAAUUUUCUGCAAUGGGCGAAAGCCUGACAGAGCAAUACCGCGUGAGGGAAGAAGGCUCACUGAGCUGUAAACCUCUGUUACCUAAGGAGGAAGAUCUGACGUUACUUAGGAGACGAAGCAUCGGCUAACUCCGUGCCAGCAGCCGCGGUAAGACGGAGGAUGCAAGUGUUAUCCGGAAUCACUGGGCGUAAAGCGUCUGCAGGUGGUUUCUUAAGUCCACUGUUAAACCUUGAGGCUCAACCUCAAUUCAGCAUUGGAAACUGGGAAACUUGAGUAUAGUAGGGGUAGAGGGAAUUUCCAGUGGAGCGGUGAAAUGCGUAGAUAUUGGAAAGAACACCGAUGGCGAAGGCACUCUACUGGGCUAUUACUGACACUCAGAGACGAAAGCUAGGGGAGCAAAUGGGAUUAGAUACCCCAGUAGUCCUAGCCGUAAACGAUGGAUACUCGAUGUUGGGCGUAUCGACCCGUC
RNAcentral lists this ribosomal RNA (800 nucleotides) under uncultured bacterium. RNAcentral describes it as "bacterial SSU rRNA". It matches the Rfam family "Bacterial small subunit ribosomal RNA", at positions 8 to 840 of the family's 1533-position model. The record is from RNAcentral.